RNAcentral lists this ribosomal RNA (1343 nucleotides) under uncultured bacterium. RNAcentral's name for it is "16S ribosomal RNA". It matches the Rfam family "Bacterial small subunit ribosomal RNA", at positions 28 to 1378 of the family's 1533-position model. The record is from RNAcentral.
GACGAACGUUGGCGGCGUGCUUAACACAUGCAAGUCGAACGGAAAGGCCCUGCUUUUGUGGGGUGCUCGAGUGGCGAACGGGUGAGUAACACGUGAGUAACCUGCCCUUGACUUUGGGAUAACUUCAGGAAACUGGGGCUAAUACCGGAUAGGAGCUCCUGCUGCAUGGUGGGGGUUGGAAAGUUUCGGCGGUUGGGGAUGGACUCGCGGCUUAUCAGCUUGUUGGUGGGGUAGUGGCUUACCAAGGCUUUGACGGGUAGCCGGCCUGAGAGGGUGACCGGCCACAUUGGGACUGAGAUACGGCCCAGACUCCUACGGGAGGCAGCAGUGGGGAAUAUUGCACAAUGGGCGGAAGCCUGAUGCAGCAACGCCGCGUGCGGGAUGACGGCCUUCGGGUUGUAAACCGCUUUCGCCUGUGACGAAGCGUGAGUGACGGUAAUGGGUAAAGAAGCACCGGCUAACUACGUGCCAGCAGCCGCGGUGAUACGUAGGGUGCGAGCGUUGUCCGGAUUUAUUGGGCGUAAAGGGCUCGUAGGUGGUUGAUCGCGUCGGAAGUGUAAUCUUGGGGCUUAACCCUGAGCGUGCUUUCGAUACGGGUUGACUUGAGGAAGGUAGGGGAGAAUGGAAUUCCUGGUGGAGCGGUGGAAUGCGCAGAUAUCAGGAGGAACACCAGUGGCGAAGGCGGUUCUCUGGGCCUUUCCUGACGCUGAGGAGCGAAAGCGUGGGGAGCGAACAGGCUUAGAUACCCUGGUAGUCCACGCUGUAAACGGUGGGUACUAGGUGUGGGGUCCAUUCCACGGGUUCCGUGCCGUAGCUAACGCUUUAAGUACCCCGCCUGGGGAGUACGGCCGCAAGGCUAAAACUCAAAGGAAUUGACGGGGCCCCGCACAAGCGGCGGAGCAUGCGGAUUAAUUCGAUGCAACGCGUAGAACCUUACCUGGGUUUGACAUGGAUCGGGAGUGCUCAGAGAUGGGUGUGCCUCUUUUGGGGUCGGUUCACAGGUGGUGCAUGGCUGUCGUCAGCUCGUGUCGUGAGAUGUUGGGUUAAGUCUCGCAACGAGCGCAACCCUUGUUCACUGUUGCCAGCACGUUAUGGUGGGGACUCAGUGGAGACCGCCGGGGUCAACUCGGAGGAAGGUGGGGAUGACGUCAAGUCAUCAUGCCCCUUAUGUCCAGGGCUUCACGCAUGCUACAAUGGCUGGUACAGAGAGUGGCGAGCCUGUGAGGGUGAGCGAAUCUCGGAAAGCCGGUCUCGGUUCGGAUUGGGGUCUGCAACUCGACCUCAUGAAGUCGGAGUCGCUAGUAAUCGCAGAUCAGCAACGCUGCGGUGAAUACGUUCCCGGG